Molecule: ribosomal RNA, 133 nt
Filed under: Chloroflexota bacterium
Lineage: Bacteria; Bacillati; Chloroflexota
Description: Chloroflexi bacterium partial 16S ribosomal RNA
Rfam family: Bacterial small subunit ribosomal RNA
Source: RNAcentral
UGGAUGGCGAGUUUGAUCCUGGCUCAGGAUAAACGCUGGCGGCGUGCCUAACACAUGCAAGUCGAACGCGCUCCCCUCCUUCGGGAAGGGAGCGAGUGGCGGACGGGUGAGUAAGACGUGGGUCACCUACCUU